AGGUCCUGCCUGCCCAGUGACUAUGUUAAACGGCCGCGGUAUUUUGACCGUGCAAAGGUAGCGCAAUCACUUGUCUUUUAAAUGAAGACCUGUAUGAAUGGUGGAACGAGGGCCUAACUGUCUCCCUUUUCAAGUCAAUGAAAUUGAUCUACCCGUGCAGAAGCGGAUAUACAAAUACAAGACGAGAAGACCCUUUGGAGCUUAAGAUUAAAAAUCAACUAUGUUAAAUAUUUACCAAAUAAAACUAAAUAGCAACUGAUCAUAAUCUUCGGUUGGGGCGACCACGGAAUAAAAAUAAACUUCCACAUGGACUGAGGACUAACCUUAAAACCAAGAAAGACAUUUCUAAGUCACAGAAUUUCUGACCACACAGAUCCGGCUGAUUGCCGAUCAAUGGACCAAGUUACCCUAGGGAUAACAGCGCAAUCCCCUUUUAGAGUUCCUAUCGACAAGGGGGUUUACGACCUCGAUGUUGGAUCAGGAC
Molecule: ribosomal RNA, 484 nt
Filed under: Brochis agassizii
Lineage: Eukaryota; Metazoa; Chordata; Actinopteri; Siluriformes; Callichthyidae
Description: Corydoras agassizii partial 16S ribosomal RNA
Rfam family: Bacterial large subunit ribosomal RNA
Source: RNAcentral